UACGGAGGGGGCGAGCGUUAUUCGGAAUUAUUGGGCGUAAAGGGCGCGUAGGCGGCUUGAUGUGUCAAAGGUGAAAUCCCUCGGCUCAACUGAGGAACUGCCUUUGAAACUGUCUGGCUUGAGGCCGGGAGAGGGUAGCGGAAUUCCCAGUGUAGCGGUGAAAUGCGUAGAUACUGGGAGGAACACCGGUGGCGAAGGCGGUUCUCUGGGCCUGACCUGACGCUGAGGAGCGAAAGCGUGGGGAGCGAACAGG
RNAcentral lists this ribosomal RNA (253 nucleotides) under uncultured bacterium. Its description in RNAcentral is "partial 16S ribosomal RNA". It matches the Rfam family "Bacterial small subunit ribosomal RNA", at positions 524 to 776 of the family's 1533-position model. The record is from RNAcentral.